CACGUAGGGGGCAAGCGUUGUCCGGAUUUAUUGGGCGUAAAGAGCUCGUAGGUGGUUCGGUAAGUCGGGUGUUAAACCCCCAGGCUCAACCUGGGGACGCCACUCGAUACUGCUGUGACUAGAGUCCGGUAGGGGAGCGUGGAAUUCCUGGUGUAGCGGUGAAAUGCGCAGAUAUCAGGAGGAACACCAGCGGCGAAGGCGGCGCUCUGGGCCGGUACUGACACUGAGGCGCGAAAGCUAGGGGAGCAAACAGG
This 254-nucleotide ribosomal RNA is filed under the name uncultured bacterium. RNAcentral's name for it is "partial 16S ribosomal RNA". It matches the Rfam family "Bacterial small subunit ribosomal RNA", at positions 524 to 776 of the family's 1533-position model. The record is from RNAcentral.